Molecule: non-coding RNA, 144 nt
Organism: Mus caroli (Ryukyu mouse)
Lineage: Eukaryota; Metazoa; Chordata; Mammalia; Rodentia; Muridae
Source: RefSeq, a predicted model, not a curated record
GUCCCUUGGCAAUGGACAAAUGGGUACUUUAUUGGUGGCCUUGUUCUUAUAUCAGUCAGGGGCAGAACAGAUGGCAGUCCUUUGCUUAUCCUAGCUUGAUGCCUGGCUUAGUACUCAAUGCUGUCUUAUGCCUAGGACUCAUAA